AUCUGACUGGCUGGAUUUUUCACAUUGCCCAUUUGGACAGUCUUGGCCGCAGCUGGGGAUCCUACAGGAAGCAGAGCCAAAGGUAAUGAAAGCCUCCAAGGAAGUGGCUACAAUUGUGGCUUCAAGGGCACCUCCUGCAUGGGGCUUCCACAGAUUGGGCAACCCACGUGGUGACGUGAGUAAAGGAUGUAAGAAGGAAAACAAAUCAGCGAGAAGAUACUGCCCCUUACCCCCGCUUAAAGAGGAGACACAGAUGCCCUGUGAACACCUACCAGUUGGCUG
RNAcentral lists this long non-coding RNA (282 nucleotides) under Homo sapiens (human). Its description in RNAcentral is "non-protein coding lnc-POU2AF1-3:4". Lineage: Eukaryota; Metazoa; Chordata; Mammalia; Primates; Hominidae. The record is from RNAcentral.